RNAcentral lists this unclassified non-coding RNA (345 nucleotides) under soil metagenome. RNAcentral describes it as "partial contains 5.8S ribosomal RNA, internal transcribed spacer 2, and large subunit ribosomal RNA". The stretch from base 1 to 119 matches the Rfam family "5.8S ribosomal RNA", at positions 35 to 154 of the family's 154-position model. The record is from RNAcentral.
GAUGAAGAACGCAGCGAAAUGCGAUACGUAAUGUGAAUUGCAAAUUCAGUGAAUCAUCGAGUCUUUGAACGCACAUUGCGCCCCCUGGUAUUCCGGGGGGCAUGCCUGUCCGAGCGUCAUUGCUGCCCUCAAGCACGGCUUGUGUGUUGGGUCCCGUCCUCCGAUCCCGGGGGACGGGCCCGAAAGGCAGCGGCGGCACCGCGUCCGGUCCUCGAGCGUAUGGGGCUUUGUCACCCGCUCUGUAGGCCCGGCCGGCGCUUGCCGAUCAACCCAAAUUUUUAUCCAGGUUGACCUCGGAUCAGGUAGGGAUACCCGCUGAACUUAAGCAUAUCAAUAAGCGGAGGA